AACGAACGCUGGCGGCAGGCCUAACACAUGCAAGUCGAGCGGACACUUCGGGGUUAGCGGCGGACGGGUGUGUAACGCGUGGGAAUAUGCCCUUCUCUACGGAAUAGUUCUGGGAAACUGGGGGUAAUACCGUAUACGCCCUUAGGGGGAAUGAUUUAUCGGGGCAGGAUUAGCACGCGUUGGAUUAGGUAGUUGGUGGGGUAAUGGCCUACCAAGCCGACGAUCCAUAGCUGGUUUGAGAGGAUGAUCAGCCACACUGGGACUGAGAAGCGGCCCAGACUCCUACGGGAGGCGGGAGUGGGGGAUCUUAGACAAUGGGGGCAACCCUGAUCGAGCCAGGCCGCGUGAGUGAUGAAGGCCGUAGGGUUGUAAAGCUCUUUCAGCUGUGAAGAUAAUGACGGUACCUGCAGAAGAAGCCCCGGCUAACUCCGUG
Molecule: ribosomal RNA, 433 nt
Filed under: uncultured bacterium
Lineage: Bacteria
Description: partial 16S ribosomal RNA
Rfam family: Bacterial small subunit ribosomal RNA
Source: RNAcentral